RNAcentral lists this unclassified non-coding RNA (836 nucleotides) under Hevea brasiliensis (rubber tree). The record is from RNAcentral. Lineage: Eukaryota; Viridiplantae; Streptophyta; Magnoliopsida; Malpighiales; Euphorbiaceae.
GGAAUCAUGGCGCUCAUUCUGCUUCACGGGACUCUCCACGCCACCAUAUUCGAGGCGACCAACAUCAACAACCCUCGGGCCACCGGCAAGGCUCCCCGGUUUCUCCGCCAGUUUGUUGAAGGUAUCGAGGAAACCGUUGGUCUUGGAAAGGGUCAUACAAAACUUUAUGCCACUGUUGAUCUGGAAAAAGCCAGAGUUGGCAGGACUAGAAAGAUAUCAGAUGAACCUGUCAACCCACGUUGGUACGAGUCUUUUCACAUCUACUGUGCUCAUUCAGCUUCCAGCGUAGUCUUCACCAUCAAGUUUGACAACCCUAUUGGUGCAACACUGGUUGGGCGAGCUUACUUACCUGUGGAGGAACUUCUAAAUGGUGAGGAAGUGGAUAGAUGGCUUGAGAUAUGUAAUGACAAACGUGAACCUGUUGGCGAUACGAAGAUCCAUGUGAAGCUCCAAUAUUUUGACAUUUUAAAAGACCGUAAUUGGGCACGGGGAAUAAGGAGUCCAAAAUACCCGGGUGUACCGUACACAUUUUUCACUCAGAGACAAGGUUGUCGUAUUUCAUUAUACCAAGAUUCUCAUGUCCCAGAUGAAUUCGUUCCCAAAAUUCCUCUUGCCAAUGGAAACUACUAUGAACCACAUAGAUGCUGGGAAGACAUAUUUGAUGCAAUUAGUAAUGCACAACAUCUGAUUUACAUUACCGGUUGGUCAGUGUACACAGAAAUCACGUUGAUACGGGACUCUAGGAGGCAAAAACCAGGAGGAGAUGUUACUCUUGGCGAGCUUCUUAAGAGAAAAGCUAGCGAAGGAGUUCGAGUUCUUAUGCUUGUUUGGGAUGA